Molecule: non-coding RNA, 3907 nt
Organism: Meleagris gallopavo (turkey)
Lineage: Eukaryota; Metazoa; Chordata; Aves; Galliformes; Phasianidae
Source: RefSeq, a predicted model, not a curated record
AGAGGUACCUAUGAAGGAUGCCAAAGAAUAUGCAGAAUCUAUAGGUGCAAUUGUUGUUGAAACCAGUGCAAAGAAUGCUGUUAACAUUGAAGAACUCUUUCAAGGAAUAAGUCAGCAAAUUCCACCCUUAGAUCCUCAUGAAAAUGGUAACAAUGGAGCAAUCAAACUUGGAAGGCAGACUUCACAGACGGGUAGGCGGUGCUGCUGACCCAACUUGAUCUUUUGAGAUUUACUUGAAAAACAGCGCCAUUUACUCUUUCAUGGAAAAAGGACUUCAUGAUCUCAGUGACGUGGCUCCUUAUCUUGAAAGCAGUAAUUUCAAUACUUCCCGUGAGUAGUAACACAAGGACCAGAAAGCUUUACUUCAAAUGGAUUUUGUAAAACCUACUUGGAAAAUCCUUUCUAAUAUCUUGUCAAAAUUACAAUGUCCAAGUAUUCUGAUCCUGUUUCAGCUGAUGACUGUCCUUUUUAAAUAAAAAGAACCUUUUAUAUAAAUUCUAGAUUUGCUACCGAAAAAAUCUCUUUUUACAUUACAAAGUGGACUUGGCAUGUUUUUAGAGUUUUCUGUUUUAUAAUACGGUGCGAAAACCCAUAAAACCUGAGUUUUGGCCCAGUUUCUCCGCUGUAUUAGCUGGACUCUGCUUCUGUAUUUUUCUAGAUCUGUAGUUUUGUCUUAUGCUUUCAGUAAAUACCAGCAAGAAUUGAACUGAAUUUGCUGACUAGAAAAAUGAAGCUGAAGGAUGAGCAAGUGCAGUUUGUUCAGGCUGCAAGUCAACAUCUGUGUCAAGAGGAGCUGUGCAUGUGAAAGAAGGAAUUGUCACAAAGGAGGCUGUUGGACCCCACUGCUCUGGAAAGAACUGAAGUAGCAGCAGCUGCACUUUGCUUGAAAUGAUUUCCAAGGCAUACGCUUCAUUAAUUGCUGAAAUUGUUAAAAACACAAAUACCAGCUUAAUCUCUAUUGCUUACUAAGUUUCCUCCCUAUCUUGUGUCCCAGGCUAAAGAUUUCUCAGCUUAACAGUCCCACUUCUGUUUCUAAAAGAAUGCCACGCUGCCCCUGGAGGUCAGGAGGACUCCUUUCCUGGCUUGCUCCAACACAUCCCUGCAAGGCUGUUAGAGAGCAACAGUUCUGUGCAAAAAUGGUUUGGGCUUAAAGGCUGGAACCUAAUAAAGCACGUAGAGUGUUUCCUUACAAGUGCAAUUCUCUUCCUCUAUGGAAUAGUCUCUUCAGCAACAUGGGGAUGCAAUAUGAAGGAACUACUGCAUGAUGCCUUUGAAGCUUAUUUGCAGCACGUGGUAGAAAAAUAAAUCCCAUAGAUGGCUAUGAACUAGAAAUAAUGUAAAACUGUGUUCUUCACCUCCAUCUCUUAUGAAUACAUGUGACUGAUUUUGCUUUUUCAUCAGUUCAAUUGGAAAUCUAAACUAGGGUGUUCUAUUGAUAAUCCAUCGUUGUUCACAUGAGAAUUCAGCAGUCAUCACAGUUGAUGGUUGGUAAGGCUCCUUUAGGGACCAUCCAAGACAUCUCCGCAAGGCUGUUGAAAGAACCACAGUUCCAUUUGAAAAUGAUUUGGGCUUAAAGGCUGGGAUUUAAUAAAGUAAAAUAGAGCAUUUCCUUAUAUCCCGUCCCAAUGCAAGUCCACUUGAGGAGCCCAGACAACUACAGUAUGGCAGGGGAGUUCACUGUGGCCUAAACUAAUAGGAACUGAUCACUAACACAGAUUAAUGCUAUUGAUGGGAUCUGUGGCCCAUCUGUGAAAGGCUAGACCUGGUAGCAAGAAAACAAGGUGAGGUGGAACCCACAUGUUUUAACACAAAAUUUAGCUCAAUGUAUAAUAGUUACGCAUAACUGAUUUUUAACUUUUCAUAGAUCUGUAUGGUAUCUGUCUUCAUAAUGUGAUGUUUAAAAUCUCAUUAAGCCUUACUUGAGAUGGCUGAAGUCUUUGGAAGAUAGUUCUGCAAGUACUUUGUAUGCUCUUAAUUUUGGCUACAACUGGCCUUUUGUGUGGAGCUGAAUGGGACAGAUAUUGUCUUGACCAACCAGUUCUCACAGCUGCCAGUAAGCUACUUGUGAUUCAGAACAGGUUUUUGAGUUACGCCUUUAAAUAGUGUAAAAUUGGAAAUCAUUAUAGUGGAUUUCUGGCAGAUUUUAGAAUUCAAAUGCUAGCAAAGUUGGCUCAAAGCUGUUUUUGCAUUAGGUGGGCCAAAUUUCAAUCACCUUAUUCUUCUUUUACUCACUCGAAUAAGUUUGUAGAAUCUUGGAGUCACAGAAUGGUUUGGGUUGGAAGGGACCUCAAAGCCCACCUCCUGCCAUGAGGAGGGCUGCCACCCACCAGCUCAGCUGCCCAGGACCCAUCCAACCUGGCCUUGAGUGCCUCUUGGGUUAUGGUGAGCUUCAGCAGAGUACUCUGGAGUCUCAUGUGUAAAAACAGCAAGGCACGGUGCUAUGUAGUAGAUUCUGUUUACUUUUAAGAUAGGGCCAGCCUUCAGUGAUGAUGUCGGUUAUCUGCUGUUUGUCAAAGCUGAAGUGCAGCUUUAGCCUGCCUCUUCCACUCUUGUGGAUGAAUGGUUGGCUUAAGAAAUAGUGAUCUUCGCAUGUAAAAUCUUUGCUUUCUUUUGUUGCCUUUGUUGUUUGGAAAGUAAGUACCACCACCUUCAUAAACAGCCAGAGAAACGACAGAGAAGCAAACAAUCUCUGAGUCAAAACUUUCAGCAUCGAUCGUAACUACCUACUGGUUAAUGGCCGGUUGAAAGCUAUAUGACUGUACAGGAGCAUUUAACUCUGUCGCUGCUCUGCUCUCCUGACAGCGAUAAGAACAGUGUGCGGUUCCUCAUCGGCCAGCUGGUGCUGGCUCUGUCGGAGACUGCUUGUCUCAUGCGAGCUGGCAGCAGGACUGGGGUGCACUGUGUUGCCAGGUGUGUUUGAUGGAGUCUGUUUGCACCGUGACUCACAGCUGUGACCCUCCAGCUGCAUGUGACUCGCUUUUCCGGCUUGUCGUGAGCUUGUUUGAAAAAAGUAAUAAAAAAAGGAUGAUGAAGGAACUCGUUUUCAUGUAUGCUCUGCAUAUGAGUGUGUAUGUAAGUACAGUUUUUUAUUGUUACGCUGACAAGUAGUGUAUUUUUUCACUAUGGCUGAGUCUCAUAUACUGAACAUUGUAUUCUGUAAGUACAUUUUUUGUUUAUGGUCAUUUUGCCUUUAUGAAGUUAAAGCUGCAGGCUGAGGGUAGCAAGAAGGUGGAGAUACACAUAGGUACAAUCAUUGACGUGCCAUUCUUAUGCAUGAAAAUGGCAUAUUGUGGAACAGUUGGUCUUGCAGCUGAGAAAUAUAGAAAAGGUCAUUAUUAUUCAAGAUUUGACACUUGGAAAUGUUAAAGUUACACUAAAAAAAAAAACCUGAUUAUUUUUAUUCAUAGUACUGCGGGUCUAUCUGAAGUGCUAAAACAUACCAUGGGUAUAUGUUAAUUACUAGGAAGGUUACCUAUUGUCCCUUGUCUCCUCAGUAAUUUUUCGUGGCACAUGAUGGUGUGCAUUAUUAGAUCGUAACGAGAGCAUUCUCUCUACAGUCAGACUUUUUCAGUGCAGUGAUGAUGUAGUUUACUAUUCUACCCUUAACUAUUUAAGCCAGAGUCAGUGGUAAAUUGUCAGUUUAAAAUCACUUUCCAAGUACUCUUCCUCUGUUUUGUUUAUGUAAGGGCUUUGAUUGGGCUGGACCCACUUGCUUCAUGUAUGGGAUGCUGCAAUCUGUUAAUACUUUACCUCUGUUUUACGUAUUAAUUGUAUCAUACCUAAUAAUAUUUUUGCCCUAAGAUGUACCUUCCGUGUUUUAUUUAACCUACAAUGAUUAACGCUAAUAAAUGUUUUAAAUGCCUCUGAUUUGAGGAUGCCUGGUUUCAAUAAAGCAGAACAAAAGAGG